This is a non-coding RNA of Oncorhynchus mykiss (rainbow trout), 1133 nucleotides long. NCBI's taxonomy places the organism in Eukaryota, Metazoa, Chordata, Actinopteri, Salmoniformes, Salmonidae. The record is from RefSeq and is a predicted model, not a curated record.
UUAAUCGAAAAAAAGGACCAAUUGUGAUGUUUAUGGGACAUAUUGGAGUGCCAACAAAGAAGCUCUUCAAAGGUAAUGCAUGUUUUAUAUUUUAUUUCAGCGUUUUGUGUAGCGCCUUUUACGCUAGUUCACAGCUGGUUCAGGUGGGUGCAUGCUAUCAGAUAAUAGCUUCUCAUGCUUUCGCCGAAAAGCAUUUUUUAAAUCUGACAUGUUGGCUGGAUUCACAACGAGUGUAGCUUUAAUUGAGCACCCUGCAUGUGUGAUUUAAUGAAAGUUUGAGUUUUAACGCGUUUUAUUUGAAUUUGGCGCUCUGCAUUUCCCGAGGCUAUUGGCCACUUGGGACGCUAGCGUCUCACUAUCCUCAAGUUGAUCUUCUUGACUGAUGCCAAGGCGGUGGCUGCUAUUGGAGCAGCUGCUGACCAGAAAACUGCAGCCAAGGCAGCACUAGUCCACACCUGUCUGUCGAACGCAGACCCCAAGACGUUCAAGGAGCAGUUUGAGAGCAAACAUCCCAAAUCUCCAAUGAUCCCAGUACUGGUUGAUGUUCAUCCUUAGGUGACCACACACUCUCUAUUGGACCUACUGUACAGCUGGGAUACACGAUGACCACGAUUUCAAUGCUUGCAACUGAGAUGGAAUGUGACCCCGAGUAUGUGACCCCGAAUAUGACUGGACAUGAAAUAUGUGACAAUGACUGACCUUAAAAGGGGUGCAGAAGCACACCAGCACCCCAUUUUAUGUUUAUCCAUCAUCCCUAUAAACCCACCCUACCUUGUUUAUUUUCCCUAUUCUGCUUCUUUCACUUGUUCUUCUCCUGAUUUGAUAACAUCUAGACUCAGUAACACAUUUAAAAGUGUUAUGGUGUAGUUUUUGUUACCUUUUCCCCCCAUUGUAUCUCUGUCAUCCUCCUGCUUUUUCUGAGGUUCAGACAAUGUACGGUAAAUGUGCUGCUCACAAUUGACAGCAGAAACAUAGAUCUGUUUAAUAUACAAGAAGGAUGAUGAUAUAGCUGCGUUUAGGCAUGGCUUCCUUGUUUAGAGUCUGGUAAGUGUGUUUCUCAAUCUGCUGGAGUUGACCUAGUAUUUUAUAUUAAACCUACCUAAAACAUCCAGUUGUUUCUCCAUUUGUAACUC